This 457-nucleotide ribosomal RNA is filed under the name uncultured bacterium. RNAcentral describes it as "bacterial SSU rRNA". It matches the Rfam family "Bacterial small subunit ribosomal RNA", at positions 340 to 786 of the family's 1533-position model. The record is from RNAcentral.
UACGGAAGGCAGCAGUGGGAAUAUUACACAAUGGGCGCAAGCCGUGAUGCGAGCCGAUGCCGCGUGUAUGAAAAAGGCCUUCGGGUUGUAAAGUACUUUCAGUCGUGAGGAAAGUGUUAAGGUUAAUAACCUUAGCAAUUGACGUUAGCGACAGAAGAAGCACCGGCUAACUCCGUGCCAGCAGCCGCGGUAAUACGGAGGGUGCGAGCGUUAAUCGGAAUUACUGGGCGUAAAGGGCACGCAGGCGGUUUAAUUAAGUUGGAUGUGAAAUCCCCGGGCUUAACCUGGGAAUGGCAUUCAAGACUGGUUAGCUAGAGUCUUGUAGAGGGGGUAGAAUUCCAUGUGUAGCGGUGAAAUGCGUAGAGAUGUGGAGGAAUACCGGUGGCGAAGGCGGCCCCCUGGACAAAGACUGACGCUCAUGUGCGAAAGCGUGGGGAGCAAACAGGGAUUAGAUACC